This 972-nucleotide ribosomal RNA is filed under the name Brachyspira hyodysenteriae. Its description in RNAcentral is "bacterial SSU rRNA". It matches the Rfam family "Bacterial small subunit ribosomal RNA", at positions 398 to 1388 of the family's 1533-position model. Lineage: Bacteria; Pseudomonadati; Spirochaetota; Spirochaetia; Brachyspirales; Brachyspiraceae. The record is from RNAcentral.
CGCGUGAGGGAUGAAGGCCUUCGGGUUGUAAACCUCGGAAAUUAUCGAAGAAUGAGUGACAGUAGAUAAUGUAAGCCUCGGCUAACUACGUGCCAGCAGCCGCGGUAAUACGUAGGAGGCAAACGUUGCUCGGAUUUACUGGGCGUAAAGGGUGAGUAGGCGGACUUAUAAGUCUAAGGUGAAAGACCGAAGCUCAACUUCGGAAACGCCUCGGAUACUGUAAGUCUUGGAUAUUGUAGGGGAUGAUGGAAUUCUCGGUGUAGCGGUGGAAUGCGCAGAUAUCGAGAGGAACACCUAUAGCGAAGGCAGUCAUCUGGGCAUUUAUCGACGCUGAAUCACGAAAGCUAGGGGAGCAAACAGGCUUAGAUACCCUGGUAGUCCUAGCCGUAAACGUUGUACACUAGGUGCUUCUAUUUAAAUAGGAGUGCCGUAGCUAACGUCUUAAGUGUACCGCCUGAGGAGUAUGCCCGCAAGGGUGAAACUCAAAGAAAUUGACGGGUCCCCGCACAAGUGGUGGAGCAUGUGGUUUAAUUCGAUGAUACGCGAAAAACCUUACCUGGGUUUGAAUUGUAAGAUGAAUGAUUUAGAGAUAAGUCAGACCGCAAGGACGUUUUACAUAGGUGCUGCAUGGCUGUCGUCAGCUCGUGUCGUGAGAUGUUGGGUUAAGUCCCGCAACGAGCGCAACCCUCACCCUUUGUUGCUACCGAGUAAUGUCGGGCACUCUUAGGGGACUGCCUACGUUCAAGUAGGAGGAAGGUGGGGAUGAUGUCAAGUCCUCAUGGCCCUUAUGUCCAGGGCUACACACGUGCUACAAUGGCAAGUACAAAGAGAAGCAAGACCGCGAGGUGGAGCAAAACUCAAAAAAGUUGCCUCAGUUCGGAUUGGAGUCUGAAACUCGACUCCAUGAAGUUGGAAUCACUAGUAAUCGUAGAUCAGAACGCUACGGUGAAUACGUUCCCGGGGAUUGUACAC